GAAACACCACUCCUAUCGAUCUCCUCGAGGAGACACCGCCGCCGCGUGAAACCCCGGGGCUUCCUCCUCCGCCGCCAUCUGGUUCCCCUCCGCUCCCAUCUGCCGCCUCUGCCAAGAUCCGAGGCCUCCGACUUGUGGGACGCCGCCGCCGCCGCGGAACCCUCGGGCAAGGCAUGGCGUGGCCGCUUCGCGAGCAGCGAGGAGCAGCGCAUGGCCAUGCCCUGCAUCGAGGAGGAGCUCAGGUAUUUUCAAAUCGAGAAGGAACACCACUGUCAUUCUACAUGGUGGUCGCUCCCCUCGAUCCCCUCCAUCGCCUCCAACAUACAAUCUCGCCGUCGCCGAGGUAUGGGAUCGCCGCCGAGCCGAGGUACGAGAUCGCCUCCAUCGUGUUCCUUCCCUGGCCACGCCCCUCCCAAUUUCUUCCCCUAACCCAGCUAGGGUUCUUACCCGCCGCCACUUCCCUGCUGCUACCCCGCCACCCGAUGCCCUCCACGGACACACCACCAUGAUGGCGGAAGGAAGAGCAAGAGGGGGUCGUCGAGGCUGGGUGAACAUGUGGAAGCCGAGACGAGGACGGACACGUCCAGAUCAGGUGCUCGCGCCUGAUCUUGAUUAGUGUGGUCAUGGCGUUUGAAGGUUGAGCAUUAGACGGAUGCAUCCAGAGCAGACCUGACCUACAUGGCUGAGCGAGAUCGAGGUCGGACGCCGGUCAUGUUCUCCUCCCGUGCAAGCUCCGCACUGAAGCAUCCAACAUUCCAACACAUGUUGUAAAGAAUUUGUACACUCCGGAGCAAGUAUUGUGAUUACAAUUACAAACAAUAUUCCUAAGUUCUUGAGGAUGUGAGUGCUCGAUGUAAACUUGCGGUGUAAUCUUGACCGAGCAAGAACGGCGAUGUGAUGCUCGUGGAAGAUGAGGUCAAGGAGGUGAACACGCUGAUGAUAUUAUUGUAACUAAGGUGAGGAGAUCAAGAGGAUCAACAACCUCUUGAACGGGCUCUUCGUCGCUGCCACCAACAACAGUUACGAGCUUGUGAGGUAGCUGCUGGAGCGUUGGAGCAUCCUUGAAAAGAAGAUGAACAAACUGUUGAUCAAGUUGUUCAACGAGGAUGAGAGAGACGACCAUGGUAGGGAGCAAAAGAAGGCGUAGACUGGCUGCAAACUUCGACAGGGGGCCGAAGAAGAAAAAAGAAGAGUGAUUUACUGGUGAAAGAAAAUCGAAAGCAUGUUCGAACUAUUAAAUUAUAUAUGCCCCUGUUGCAACACAUGUUAGAUUAGUACACUGUCAUAAUUCCAACAAAAUGCAGAACAAGUGAUACACCUUUCUCACAAAUAUUACACUGAUGGCAUUUGGCUUUUGACUACAUAGAAGUGAGUAGAGGUGAAUGAAUGUUUUAGGAUGGAGGCUAGGCACUGUGAGCGAGUUCCUUCCAAUACUACGUCUGUCACUGUCACUGUAUGCCUCAUUGCACUGUGAGUAUUAUCCUCUUUAAUUAUCUUGCACUACAGAUUUGUUGU
Molecule: long non-coding RNA, 1515 nt
Organism: Triticum aestivum (bread wheat)
Lineage: Eukaryota; Viridiplantae; Streptophyta; Magnoliopsida; Poales; Poaceae
Exons: 3
Source: RefSeq, a predicted model, not a curated record